This 382-nucleotide ribosomal RNA is filed under the name uncultured bacterium. RNAcentral's name for it is "bacterial SSU rRNA". It matches the Rfam family "Bacterial small subunit ribosomal RNA", at positions 30 to 412 of the family's 1533-position model. The record is from RNAcentral.
AUUGAACGCUGGCGGCAUGCCUUACACAUGCAAGUCGAACGGCAGCACGGGAGCAAUCCUGGUGGCGAGUGGCGAACGGGUGAGUAAUAUAUCGGAACGUGCCCAGUCGUGGGGAUAACGUAGCGAAAGCUACGCUAAUACCGCAUACGAUCUAUGGAUGAAAGCGGGGGAUCGCAAGACCUCGCGCGAUUGGAGCGGCCGAUAUCAGAUUAGGUAGUUGGUGAGGUAAAGGCUCACCAAGCCGACGAUCUGUAGCUGGUCUGAGAGGACGACCAGCCACACUGGGACUGAGACACGGCCCAGACUCCUACGGGAGGCAGCAGUGGGGAAUUUUGGGACAAUGGGCGCAAGCCUGAUCCAGCAAUGCCGCGUGCAGGAUGAA